Molecule: ribosomal RNA, 273 nt
Filed under: uncultured bacterium
Lineage: Bacteria
Description: partial 16S ribosomal RNA
Rfam family: Bacterial small subunit ribosomal RNA
Source: RNAcentral
AUACGGAGGGUGCGAGCGUUAAUGGGAAUUACUGGGCGUAAAGCGUACGUAGGCGGUUGGUUAAGUUAGAUGUGAAAGCCCCGGGCUUAACCUGGGAACUGCAUUUAAAACUGGCGAACUAGAGUUGAGUAGAGGGGAGUGGAAUUUCAGGUGUAGCGGUGAAAUGCGUAGAGAUCUGAAGGAACACCAGUGGCGAAGGCGACUCCCUGGACUCGAACUGACGCUGAGGUACGAAAGCGUGGGUAGCAAACGGGAUUAGAAACCCCAGUGUCC